UUCUCCCUUCCUCUUGGUAGGAAGGUCUGAGAGGGUACCGCCUGCUCAUACCGAUUUUCAGGGUGAGUGCCAUUUGACUCAGUUUUGCCAGCUCUCCCGUGACGGGCUGCUUCUGGUUCGGGACAACGCGAGAAAAGAAAA
Molecule: non-coding RNA, 141 nt
Filed under: Kryptoperidinium triquetrum
Lineage: Eukaryota; Dinophyceae; Peridiniales; Kryptoperidiniaceae
Source: RNAcentral